CCCCUUAGAGUUUGAUCCUGGCUCAGAUUGAACGCUGGCGGCAUGCCUUACACAUGCAAGUCGAGCGGCAGCGCGGGGGCAACCCUGGCGGCGAGCGGCGGACGGGUGAGUAAUGCAUCGGAACGUGUCCUCUUGUGGGGGAUAACCAGUCGAAAGACUGGCUAAUACCGCAUGAGCUCGAGAGAGGAAAGCAGGGGACCCGCAAGGGCCUUGCGCGAGAGGAGCGGCCGAUGCCCGAUUAGCUAGUUGGUGGGGUAAUAGCCCACCAAGGCGACGAUCGGUAGCUGGUCUGAGAGGACGACCAGCCACACUGGGACUGAGACACGGCCCAGACUCCUACGGGAGGCAGCAGUGGGGAAUUUUGGACAAUGGGGGCAACCCUGAUCCAGCCAUGCCGCGUGUGUGAAGAAGGCCUUCGGGUUGUAAAGCACUUUCGGACGGAACGAAAUCGCGCGGGUGAAUAUCCCGCGUGGAUGACGGUACCGUAAGAAGAAGCACCGGCUAACUACGUGCCAGCAGCCGCGGUAAUACGUAGGGUGCGAGCGUUAAUCGGAAUUACUGGGCGUAAAGUGUGCGCAGGCGGCGUCGCAAGUCGAGUGUGAAAGCCCCGGGCUUAACUUGGGAAUUGCGCUCGAAACUACGGUGCUGGAGUAUGGCAGAGGAAGGUGGAAUUCCACGUGUAGCGGUGAAAUGCGUAGAGAUGUGGAGGAACACCGAUGGC
RNAcentral lists this ribosomal RNA (721 nucleotides) under uncultured bacterium. RNAcentral's name for it is "bacterial SSU rRNA". It matches the Rfam family "Bacterial small subunit ribosomal RNA", at positions 1 to 716 of the family's 1533-position model. The record is from RNAcentral.